Unclassified non-coding RNA from Callithrix jacchus (white-tufted-ear marmoset), 288 nucleotides. It matches the Rfam family "Metazoan signal recognition particle RNA". Rfam says of the family: The signal recognition particle (SRP) is a universally conserved ribonucleoprotein. Lineage: Eukaryota; Metazoa; Chordata; Mammalia; Primates; Cebidae. The record is from Ensembl.
GCCAGGCAAUUGGCACGUGCCUGUAGUUCCAGAUACUUGGGAGGCUGAGGCAGGAGAAUCUUCUGGAUUCUAGUGCACAAUGCCGAUCGGGUGGGUGUCUGCACUAAGUUUAGCAUCAGUAUGAUGACCUCCCAGGAGUGGGGCACCACCAGGUUGCCUAAGGAGGGAUGAACUGGCCCAGGUCAGAAACAGAGCAGGUCAAAACUUGUGUGCUGAUCAGUAGUGAGAUCACACCUGUGAAUAACCACUGCACUCCAGCCUGGGCAGUAUAGCAAGACCCCAUUUCUG